CAUGGGCAUCUUUCCAUUUCCUUUAUAACAAUUAACAAAAUGGGUGUUUCAAAUAUGUCCCUUUUUAGAAACAUAAAAAUGGGUUCAAAUCUAUUUCUUGAAAAACAUACUAUUGUGAAUAAAAUUUUGGCGUGGUUAUCAAGGGGAAUGGUUACAUUUCUUGAGAAACGGUGGCUUCAAGCCUUCAACAUGGAAGUUGUUUGUCUGUAGUGGACGAUGGGACCAGAGACCAGAGCAAUGGUGGUGAUUUCUUCCUUUGGUGCCAUCGCCGAUCUUUUCCCCCCAUACCACUAGCAUGUAAUCAUGCAGGCCGCCAACAGAAAAUUUAUUGAUCACCUAUGGUUUGAUUUGAUGGUGGACUUAAUCAUCAUUCAAAACAGUAGGUUUAUUUGGCUUGUUAUGAUCAACAAAACGAAAUAGGCUUUGUCAUCCAAUCAUGUAAAAGCAUCUUUCUGCACAAUUUGGCAAAUGCAUUGUGAUAUUGCGAGUUCAACAA
Molecule: non-coding RNA, 496 nt
Organism: Oryza sativa Japonica Group (Japanese rice)
Lineage: Eukaryota; Viridiplantae; Streptophyta; Magnoliopsida; Poales; Poaceae
Source: RefSeq, a predicted model, not a curated record